RNAcentral lists this ribosomal RNA (253 nucleotides) under uncultured bacterium. Its description in RNAcentral is "partial 16S ribosomal RNA". It matches the Rfam family "Bacterial small subunit ribosomal RNA", at positions 524 to 776 of the family's 1533-position model. The record is from RNAcentral.
UACGAAGGGGGCUAGCGUUGCUCGGAAUCACUGGGCGUAAAGCGCACGUAGGCGGAUCUUUAAGUCAGGGGUGAAAUCCUGGAGCUCAACUCCAGAACUGCCUUUGAUACUGGGGAUCUCGAGUCCGGGAGAGGUGAGUGGAACUCCGAGUGUAGAGGUGAAAUUCGUAGAUAUUCGGAAGAACACCAGUGGCGAAGGCGGCUCACUGGUCCGGUACUGACGCUGAGGUGCGAAAGCGUGGGGAGCAAACAGG